This 161-nucleotide non-coding RNA is filed under the name bovine gut metagenome. Its description in RNAcentral is "Lysine riboswitch". It matches the Rfam family "Lysine riboswitch aptamer". From Rfam's summary of the family: Riboswitches are metabolite binding domains within certain messenger RNAs that serve as precision sensors for their corresponding targets. The record is from RNAcentral.
CGAUAGAGGUUGCGGAGAUUAUGAGUAACGGUCUUCAAAAAGCGCAGGGGAGCGCGGCCGUGAAAGGAUGAUCCGCCGAAGCUUACCGGAAUCCCUGAGCCGGUCUGCUGGGACGGUACAAUAAGAUGUGCCGGACUGUCACGCAAGUGGAGCGCUAUCAU